AUUUAUUUUUAUAGAAAAUAGAAAAUUUUGUGUUCUUCACUUCUUGUUAGCCUUUUGGGGGGGUAAUCAAUUUGGCUGAAUUUUUUUUAAUUUUAUCUAUUCAUUUAUUUUAGACAGUGAUAAUGCUUUGAGCCUCAAAGCUACUUGUAAUAUUCAGAGUCAUAUUUGUAUUCAUUCUGUUGUUAUAUUAAAUACAUGUUUGUUUCAUUGCAAAAUCUAACAAUCCUGCUCUAUGACUCCUUUUUAUUUACUAUAAACUAGAGUUUGGAAGGAUAAUUAUCCAGCACUGACUUCCUUCAUCAGUCCUGUGUCAUCACAACAAACACUGAAUGGAGGAGCAAACCGUCCCGUCCUGUGAUCUUGAGAUGGGAUGUGUUCCCUUUGCAUCUACCGCCCUCCCAUUAGUUUUCCCCACCCCUUUCAGUUCCUCCUAUAAACUUUGCAGCGUGUCCUGAGAGCCUGAGUGUCUACAUCCAACACUUUCCUGCUGUUUCACACUUUACCUUAUAUUUGAAAGGACUGCUUCCUCCUUCAGCUGCCAUUUUACAGCACCACAAGAACACAAUAGCGCCACCAUCUCCGUCCUUCCAUUCCUCUCACUGCCACUAGCCUGCAGUCUUGAUCAGGAUGGAGAGGGUGCAGCAUGUGACACGCUCAGCCAUUCGGAGGGCAUCCAACAUCGAAGUGAACCCGCAGACCAAACGCAACCUACAAGAUCUCAUCAUCAACUUCUCCCUCAUCCUCAUCUGCCUGCUGCUCAUCUACAUCAUCGUCUUGCUCAUGUGACACCAAACGAUGACAACCGGCCAAUCACAAGAUGCACUGCACAAGAUCUUGGACAAUUUUUGGGAAUUGAAAAUCUCCUACUAAUGAUGCAACACAUGUUAAUUUCCUGAAAUUAUAUGAGGGCGGCAGAGAUUUUUCUCUAUUUAUGUUUGCUGCGUUCUUCUCAUAACAAUAAGCAUAUUUUUGACCUUUGAAUGAGUACAAGUCUCAUUUUGUUCAUAUAUAUUUUGUAUAUAAAACAUACAAAAUUAUAUGGUAGGUAAAUUCAGAUAUGUUUUAUAUAUGAAUGUAGACCUCACGGGGGGAAGCAGUCAUCUGAACUGGUGUAGUUCACAAAAACAUGAAGAUUUAACAUCAAAAUGGCUGUAAUUUCUGGCAAAAGUGUAGCUCCCAAGAGCAAUCAGCAAUUCCUUCCAAGUGCUAAGUCAUUUACGUACAUAUUCCCCCCCAAAAUAUCGUGAUUGUUGUGUUGAAAUGCAAAAUUUAUAGGUCAGUCCCAGAAAUCAGAAAUCAUAUAUUAUUCACAGAGGAACAGAGCAUGUUGGCACUGAGGUAAAUUAUGCUUGCAUGCUUAACAUAUUGUUUGUUUACACUUCCAGUGAACAUGAUCUGAGAGAGAAAGGGUUAUUAAAUGGGUAAUUUAAGGAUGUUGCUAAAUGUGGCCAACCAAUAAAGAGAAUGUUUGUUUUAAA
Molecule: RNA transcript, 1478 nt
Organism: Cyprinus carpio (common carp)
Lineage: Eukaryota; Metazoa; Chordata; Actinopteri; Cypriniformes; Cyprinidae
Gene name: cardiac phospholamban-like
Exons: 2
Source: RefSeq, a predicted model, not a curated record